AAAGCAAAUCAACCUUGUUGCUUCUGAUUUUUUUCAGAAGAGGAAAGUCCGGACACCAAAGGAUAUCGUAGCGGGUAACGCCCGUCCGCCGUGAGGCGAGGACAAGUGCAACAGAAAGAAAGUACAGUGCGGCUGUAGUGAAAUCAGGUAAACUCUACGAGGUGCAAUGCUAUGUAUACCGGCGAUAUAAGAGCUAUCCGUUCAAUGCCGGGGGGUAAGCAGUUCGAGAUAAGGAGCAAUUCUUAUCCCAGAUAAAUAACAAGGCUUUUCAGAAAUGAAAACGACAGAAUCCGGCUUAUUGAUUUGCUUUUAUU
RNAcentral lists this RNase P RNA (314 nucleotides) under Flavobacteriaceae bacterium. Its description in RNAcentral is "RNase P RNA component class A". It matches the Rfam family "Bacterial RNase P class A". Rfam says of the family: Ribonuclease P (RNase P) is a ubiquitous endoribonuclease, found in archaea, bacteria and eukarya as well as chloroplasts and mitochondria. Lineage: Bacteria; Pseudomonadati; Bacteroidota; Flavobacteriia; Flavobacteriales; Flavobacteriaceae. The record is from RNAcentral.